UCUACUUUUCUUCGAUUUAAAAAAAGAAACCCUCCCAUGGAUGCAGCAAAACCCCAACGCACCCCACAGGAAGUGGAGAACAUCAUCAUCCGCAAAAUCUUCCUCGUCACCAUCACCGAACCCGAUGCCACCGCCACCACCGCCACCACCACCGACUCCAGAAUCGUCUACAUGGAGCAAACCGCGGCGGAGAUUCUCAGCGAGGGGAAGGGCCUCCGUCUCUCGCGCGACACCAUGGAGAGGAUCCUCAUCGAUCGCCUCUCCGGCGACGCCGACGAAUCGCCGUUCCACUACCUCUUCGGCUGCUACCAGCGCGCCUACGACGAGGCUAAGAAGAUCGCCGGCAUGAAGGACAAGGAACUCAGGGCGGAAAUGGAGGUUGUUGUCAGGCAGGCGAAGAAGCUCUCUGUCUCCUACUGCAGGAUUCAUCUCGCGAACCCUGAGCUCUUCCCGAGCCGGAGCACUGCUAACGACGCUGGACACUCGCCGCUGCUGCCGCUGGUCCUCGCGGAGGUUGGUGGUGGGGGAAUCGGAGGGUUUGGCGGAGGUGGUGGUGGAGUGAAGAGCCCACCGGGGUUUUUGGAGGAGCUGUUUAGGGAUGCUGAUUUUGAUAGUUUGGACAGAAUAUUGAAAGGGUUGUAUGAAGAGUUGAGGGGGAGUGUGAUGAAGGUUUCUGCUCUUGGAAACUUUCAGGAUUCUCUGAGGGCUUUGUUGUUUUUAGUCAGGUUCCCUGCUGGUGCAAAGUCUCUUGUGAGCCAUCAAUGGUGGAUUCCCAAAGGGGUUUACAUGAAUGGUCGCGCCAUCGAAAUGACCAGCAUUUUGGGGCCAUUCUUCCAUGUCAGUGCUCUCCCUGAUCAAACCUUUUUCAGGAGCCUGCCUGAUGUUGGACAGCAGUGUUUUUCUGAUUCAUCAACUCGGCGACAAGCUGAUUUAGUAUCCUCGUUUUCCACUAUCAAAAAUGUCAUGAAUAACUUGUAUGGUGGCCUAUCUGAAGUACUUCUCGUCCUCCUCAAAAGUUCAGAUACUCGAGAAAAUGUACUUGAGUAUCUUGCAGAGGUGAUCAAUAUAAAUGCAUCCAGGGCUCAUAUACAGGUUGACCCUAUUACUUGUGCAAGUUCUGGCAUGUUUGUAAAUCUCAGUGCUGUCAUGCUUCGUCUCUGUGAACCUUUUUUAGAUGCUAAUUUAACAAAAAGGGAUAAAAUAGAUCCGAAUUAUGUACACUACUCAAAUCGUUUAAAGCUAAGUGGGUUGACUGCUCUUCAUGCAUCAUCAGAAGAAAUUACUGAAUGGCUUAAUAGUAAAAACCCAUCUAAGGCUGGGGGAAUCGAUCAAUGUAAUGAUGAUAAAAAACGCUUGCAACAAUCUCAAGAGGCCAGUAGUUCUGGUAGUAAUAAUGCUGGUGGGCUUUCAAAAGAAAAUUCUGCAUGUGGUGAAUGCUUCUUUAUGACGGCAAGAGUGCUCAACCUAGGCCUUUUAAAAGCAUUUUCUGACUUCAAACACUUAGUUCAGGAUAUUUCUAGAUGUGAAGAUGCUCUUUCCACACUUAAAGGCAUGCAGGGGCACUCACCCUCUCCUCAGUUGGAAUUGGAUAUAUCUCGACUUGAGAAGGAACUGGAGUUGUACUCGCAGGAAAAGCUUUGUUAUGAAGCUCAGAUAUUGAGGGAUAACACGCUUAUUCAGAAUGCACUUACGUUCUACCGCUUGAUGAUCGUUUGGUUGGUUGGCUUGGUUGGUGGAUUCAAGAUGCCUCUACCACAGACAUGCCCAAUGGAAUUUGCUACCAUGCCUGAGCAUUUUGUAGAAGAUGCCAUGGAACUUUUAAUAUUUGCUUCCCGGAUUCCAAGGGCCUUGGAGGGAGUCGUACUGGAUGAGUUUAUGAACUUUAUAAUUAUGUUCAUGGCCAGCCCUGAUUUGAUCAAAAACCCAUAUCUGAGAGCUAAGAUGGUUGAAGUCUUGAAUUGCUGGAUGCCCCGUACAAGUGGCACAUCUGCUACAGCUACUCUAUUUGAAGGACACCAACUGUCUCUUGAGUAUCUUGUGAGGAAUCUUCUGAAACUUUAUGUUGACAUUGAGUUUACCGGUUCUCACACACAGUUCUAUGACAAGUUUAACCUCCGCCAUAAUAUUGCUGAACUCCUUGAACUAGUCAUCGUAAUGCUUGGAGACAGAUCGCUAAAGAGGAGGAAAAGGGUGUCUAUUUGAAUUUCUUGAACUUUCUGAUUAAUGAUAGUAUAUAUCUUCUUGAUGAAAGUCUGACCAAAAUUCUUGAGCUAAAAGAAUUGGAAGCUGAGAUGUCAAAUACAGCUGAGUGGGAAAGACGGCCAGUUCAGGAGAGGCAGGAGAGGACCCGGUUAUUCCAUUCUCAAGAAAUUAUUAUUCGAAUAGAUAUGAAGUUGGCAAAUGAAGAAGUUAGUAUGCUUGCAUUUACUUCAGAACAGAUUACUGUUCCAUUCCUACUUCCUGAGAUGGUGGAAAGAGUGGCUAGUAUGCUGAAUUACUUUCUGCUGCAAUUGGUGGGUCCCCAAAGAAAAUCGCUUAGUCUGAAAGAUCCUGAGAAAUAUGAAUUCCGUCCAAAGGAUUUGCUAAAACAGAUUGUGCACAUAUAUAUUCACCUGGCCAGAGGUGACACAAAUGCUAUCUUCCCAGCUGCAAUCUCAAAAGAUGGAAGAUCAUACAAUGACCAGUUGUUUAGUGCUGGUGCAGAUGUCCUACGUAGAAUUGGUGUGGAUCCGAAAGUCAUACAGGAGUUUAUUCAACUAGGUGCUAAAGCAAAAGUUGCUGCUUCAGAAGCCAUGGGAUUUGGAGGUUCAUGAAUUGGGAAGAAAGAUAUAACCUUUUUUAAUACAUUCAAUUCAAGGAUCUAAAUCCAUGAGAAAUAAGAACAGGAAGCAGAAUUUUGAGGAAACAAAAAACACAGAUUUCAGAAUUCAGAUUUUCCCUUUUCCAGAGAUCAUAUCAAAGUAGAACCCACAAAUUCAAAUGGGCAUUUCAAAGUUAGCUUCUUUCAAACAAACUAAAAACACCCAUCAACGUCAAAAUUGAACUAAUCAAUUAACACGAAAAGCAAUUGCAAAUUGCAAAUUGUAAUCCCAAACUAUUACAAAAAAAACCCUAAAGAAAAUGGAGAGAAAUCAAGUUGGAUUUGAAGAAGGAAGUACCGAUUUCGCCGAAAAAUGGAGAAUUGGAGAAGCUGGAACGAGAAGAGUGGAGUGGUGAAAGGAGAGAGAUGGUGCUACCAUUCAAUUAGAUUGAAUUCAAUUCCUAGGUUAAACUAUGUCGUAUUGGUCUCCCUGAUGGCCCCACUCCGAGCAUGCUAUGUUUGGCUCUGUGUGUGUCUGGAAAAGCCAAAGUCCCAUUCGGGUGGUAUUAGUACUAUUUUGUUGAAGUGAAUGUUUAAUAAGAUUAAAAAAAUUAGUUUGAGUUUAACGUGUAUUAGAGAAUCAUGCUCUAGAUAGGUAAACUUUAAUUUGAAUUCAAAUACAUAGUAAAAUCUGCAAAAACUUAAAAUCUUGUUUGUCACAUUAAAUGUAGAGUGUAAGGUCGGUUUGAUUACAUUUUUAAAAACUGUAAAAUUUAAAAAUAUGUUUGUCACAUCUUAUUUUUAAAAAUUAUUUUUGAACACAGUUCUUAUUUACAGUUUUAAAAGAUAUUUUUCUUUUUUGUUAUAGUUUUCAAAUUACAGAUUUUUAAUGUUUGGUAUAAAAAAAAUCUCAUAAAAAAAUUAUUGAAAAGUCGUUUCUAAAAACAUUUUUUAAAUCCAUAAAAAUAAACAUUGCGAUAAACUAACUCUAAGUAUAAAACUUGGACGCCCUACCCAACUCAUAUAUCCCUCAGCCCCUAUCACUUGAGCUAUCAAAUGGGGAUAGUGCUGGCGGAUUUUGAAAAGUCUAAUGAUCACCUUAUCACCUUUCAUUACUAAUGCGCUGAUCGUAAGACGAAAAAUUAAUCCCGCACCUACUGAAUCUAUCUAUACUAGUCUAUACUAGAUACAAAACACAAGCCUCUUCCAACGACAAAAUAACGACGUGUCGUUACCACAGCAAUUUGCCACGCGUCACAUUAGCAUCCUGCUUUCGGUUUUCCUUAUUUCAAUGGAGUUAUAUGUUUUGUCCCACUGUGGAUAUGUAUAUGUUUUGACUGUGUUCUGUUUCCUUCCCCGUUUUCUCCUUGCAAGAACCACAGAACUGCUUUAACCUUCCCCGUUUUCUCCCUGUUUGUCAGUAAAGUCAAGGAGCACGAAUUCGACAAAUUGUGGGAAUUGGAAACUUUUGAAAUUCAAAUUGAAUCACUUUUAUCUCUCUCUCCAUAUUUGUUUUCAAAUUCUGGAUCUGUCUCAAAAUUAUUUUCCUCUUCCUGCUCCGGAAACUCAUCUCACCUUCUUUCUCUGCUAACGGUGGCGCUAGAUCAUCAACGACCGUGCAUACCUUCCUUGGACCGCCACCGCUCCCUCCCACGCCCAGCCGCCGCCUCUAGGCCCCCCCUCUCCCUCUCUCACUCCCAGCCGCUCUCUCGCUCUCUCUCUCUCUCCCUCAGCAGAUCUUCAACCGCGCCCAAAUCUCCAGAUCUCGCGCGUCCUCUCCCUCGAAGCCACACACAGCAACUUUCAAACCCCGGUGCUUCCGAAAAAUCCAUCGGGUAUUGGUAUUAAGGAAAGGUAUCACCUUGUGCUGAGACAGAAGCUUUCAGGGUUCUUUGUGAAUUUUUUUAGAGCUUUUGAUUUCUAUCUGGGGCCUGGAGUUUGGAGAGCUUGAUAGGUGAAGAUGCUAACAUAUGGAGAAUCCAGAAUUCACUUGAAGAGGGGCUUUUCCAUCGGAUCGAAAUGCACAGAUUGAAAGCAUUUUGACAGAGCAUUGCAGAUCGAUGAACUCUUACAUGUGAUAUGGACGGAUCUCUAGCCUUUUCAUGGAUCACGAACAUGGAACUUUGAGCUCCAUCAUAUAUGGUCGGUUCAUGCUUCCUAAAUCUGGGUUUUGUUGAAAUGAGGGCCUGAAGAUCUGUAUAUCUCAAGACUGAGAGAUCAAAGAUGAUAUGUCUAAAGGAGGAGAAAAAACCUGAAGAGAGGAAAGCUCAUCCUCAACUCGCUCGACUCCAAAUUGAACGGUCUCUUGGUUGAAGCCUCUUCCGAAGAAAAUCCGGCCAGUCCACGGUUCAUUUUUUUUCACCAGAGACCUUCACACUCAAUUGUGCUUUUACGAUGAGACUAUUGUUCAAAUGAUCGAAAAGAAAGGGAGAUUGUGAAAGAUGAAUUCUAGCAAGGAAGUGGCUUACUGAUUUGGCUUAUGAUGGCUAAGAAUGAAGAAGAAGAAUUCAACACUAGACCACUAUCUGUUCUGAUGAUGAGUAUUAAAAAUGAUACUCAUGUAUGUUUUUUUAACAUUAGAUAGUAACAUGGAUUCUGAGGCAGCCCCUAGAAGGCAUUUUAUGUCUGAGGUUUUAACCAGACACUUUAACUUCAGUAGCAAGAAGCUUCUGGGUCGUGGCAUGGCUUUUCAUAGGCACCGCAACAUGGUUCAGGAUCAAAAUUUUAAAAAUAGUUUAUUCGAUGAAAACUAAAUAGUGAAGAAGCAAGAAUCAAAUAAUCAUCCAGCCAACUGCUGAACCUGAAAGUACAAUUUUUCGAAAUCAGAUUGGAAAUGUCCUUUGCAGUAUGCAGGAACAACUUUUUGAAUGAUUUGCCUUCCUUGGAUCCAGAAUUAUGUGUUCAUCUUAAUUUUCUAUAUUUUCCAUAACUAAAUUAAGCUGGAGAAAUAAUACAUCUUAUAUGUUUAGAUGGUUUACUUGAUGAACAUUAUUAAGAGGAAUAUUAAAUGUGAUGUUUAGAACGAUGAAAUAAUCUUGUGGUUUUCUAGGGUAUUUUCCAGAUAAAAUACUAGGUUUUAUAAAUAGUUUCCAUUUAUUUGUUGCACACAUGUAUUCUGCUGGACCAAUUGAAUGGUUUAUCAUGUUCAAUUGACGCUCUCUGGUUUAUCCAAUCUGGUUUGCUUCUCCUUUCUCAGUCUUGAUCAUUUCCCUAACAGUUUCUUUCUUUGAUUGGGUCACACAGCUACUAUCCCAUUCUGAUAAAUUGCCUGUUUAACAAAUUGCUGCAAUUUCCUUGGCCACUUGGUUGAGAAGAGUAAGAAAGCCUUCCAAAAUCAUAUUCUAUAAUUCUUUGAAGAAUGAUAAAGACAUCAGUUCUUAUCUUAAUAUGGUUCUAAAAGAUUGCAAACACUUUGCUCAAUCCCUUCAUUGGUGUCAAUUAGUGCAUGUCAAGAGACAAUGCAAUACCACUGUUGUCUAAAAUUAUUUUUCAAUUUGUAGAUAAAGUUUGGUUAGAAGGAUGCCCUAUGGCGGAUGAUAUUCUUUUGAAUGAUGUACCUUUUAAUUUUGUUCAUGAUUGAAUAAAAUGUUAAAGCACAGAAAAGAAAAAGCGCUACGCUGUGCCAGCUUGGAUUUAAAUAA
Molecule: RNA transcript, 6441 nt
Organism: Lotus japonicus
Lineage: Eukaryota; Viridiplantae; Streptophyta; Magnoliopsida; Fabales; Fabaceae
Gene name: probable ubiquitin conjugation factor E4
Exons: 21
Source: RefSeq, a predicted model, not a curated record